GCGUAUAAGGGGCCAGAGGGCAUGGUAAGCCGAAGGGGGCAAGCUGGAAUAGGAAUUAGUGGGGGGAAGAGGUGAGCAGGCGGGGUUGCAAGACCGAUGUUAAAUCCCCGUGCUUAAACUGGGAACUGCAGUGGGGACUGCAUCGCUGGAGUAUGGCAGAGGGGGGUAGAAUUCCACGUGGAGCAGUGAAAUGCGUAGAGAUGUGGAGGAAUACCGAUGGCGAAGGCAGCCCCCUGGGCCAAUACUGACGCUCAUGCACGAAAGCGUGGGGAGCAAACAGGAUUAGAUACCCGAGUAGUC
RNAcentral lists this ribosomal RNA (300 nucleotides) under uncultured Caloramator sp. RNAcentral's name for it is "bacterial SSU rRNA". The stretch from base 52 to 300 matches the Rfam family "Bacterial small subunit ribosomal RNA", at positions 547 to 795 of the family's 1533-position model. Lineage: Bacteria; Bacillati; Bacillota; Clostridia; Eubacteriales; Clostridiaceae. The record is from RNAcentral.